Molecule: transfer RNA, 69 nt
Filed under: Ictidomys tridecemlineatus (thirteen-lined ground squirrel)
Lineage: Eukaryota; Metazoa; Chordata; Mammalia; Rodentia; Sciuridae
Description: Spermophilus tridecemlineatus (thirteen-lined ground squirrel) tRNA
Rfam family: tRNA
About the family: Transfer RNA (tRNA) molecules are approximately 80 nucleotides in length. Their secondary structure includes four short double-helical elements and three loops (D, anti-codon, and T loops).
Source: Rfam by way of RNAcentral
GGGGUUGUGGCUCAGUGGUAGAGUACUUGCUUAGCACGUGCAAGACCCUGAGUUUGAUUCUCAGCACCA